CAGUCGCCACGGUAAUACGUAGGGUGCGAGCGUUAAUCGGAAUUACUGGGCGUAAAGCGUGCGCAGGCGGUUGUGCAAGACAGAUGUGAAAUCCCCGAGCUUAACUUGGGAACUGCAUUUGUGACUGCACGGCUAGAGUGUGUCAGAGGGGGGUAGAAUUCCGCGUGUAGCAGUGAAAUGCGUAGAUAUGUGGAGGAAUACCGAUGGCGAAGGCAGCCCCCUGGGAUAACACUGACGCUCAUGCACGAAAGCGUGGGGAGCAAGCAGGAUUAGAUACCCCAGUAGUCCCUGUCUCUUAUAC
Molecule: ribosomal RNA, 301 nt
Filed under: uncultured bacterium
Lineage: Bacteria
Description: partial 16S ribosomal RNA
Rfam family: Bacterial small subunit ribosomal RNA
Source: RNAcentral